Molecule: ribosomal RNA, 588 nt
Filed under: uncultured bacterium
Lineage: Bacteria
Description: bacterial SSU rRNA
Rfam family: Bacterial small subunit ribosomal RNA
Source: RNAcentral
CCAGACUCCUACGGGAGGCAGCAGUGGGGAAUAUUGCACAAUGGGCGCAAGCCUGAUGCAGCGACGCCGCGUGAGGGAUGACGGCCUUCGGGUUGUAAACCUCUGUUAGCAUCGAAGAAGCGAAAGUGACGGUAGGUGCAGAGAAAGCGCCGGCUAACUACGUGCCAGCAGCCGCGGUAAUACGUAGGGCGCGAGCGUUGUCCGGAAUUAUUGGGCGUAAAGAGCUUGUAGGCGGUUGGUCGCGUCUGCUGUGAAAGGCCGGGGCUUAACUCCGGUUUUGCAGUGGGUACGGGCUAACUAGAGUGCAGUAGGGGAGACUGGAAUUCCUGGUGUAGCGGUGGAAUGCACAGAUAUCAGGAGGAACACCGAUGGCGAAGGCAGGUCUCUGGGCUGUAACUGACGCUGAGAAGCGAAAGCAUGGGGAGCGAACAGGAUUAGAUACCCUGGUAGUCCAUGCCGUAAACGUUGGGCACUAGGUGUGGGGGACAUUCCACGUUUUCCGCGCCGUAGCUAACGCAUUAAGUGCCCCGCCUGGGGAGUACGGCCGCAAGGCUAAAACUCAAAGGAAUUGACGGGGGCCCGCACAAG